AAACCACUCCCUGGGUCCCAGCCAGCGGCCGGCCCAGGGCGGUCCCGCCGCCCCGCGUCUCACGCGCAGUUGCCCAUGGCCUUGACCAGGGAGCUCUCGGGCAGCUGGCGGAAGAUGCCCCGCAGCGUGUCCAGUUCGCGGCUCAGUUGUUCCACCCGCUUGCGCAGGCGGUCAUUGUCACUGGUCAGCUCCAGCACCUUCUGCUGUGUCUCCACGUUGCGCUGCUUGGCCUUGUCCCGGCUCUUGCGCACCGCGAUGUUGUUGCGCUCGCGCCGCACCCGGUACUCGUUGCUGUUCUUGUCCACCGACUUCUUGACUUUGCCCGCGCCGCCCCCGCCGCCGCCCGCGCGGAGGUCGGGGUGCGCGGCCGCCAGCCCCUUGAGCGCGCCGCCGGGGCCUGGCAAGCCAGCGGCACCGAGAGCGGGUGCUGGGUGAGGGCUGGGCACGGGCGUGGGCGGCGGCGUGGGGUGGCCGGGCUGCAGGUGCAUGGUGGUCUGGCCGCAGUGCGCGAUCUGGAACUGCAGGUGAGGGGCGGCCAGGUGCGCGGGCGGUGGGUGCGGGUGCGGCGGCGGCGGCGGCGGCGGCGGCUGGUAGGGGAAGAGGCCGGCCAGCGCCAGCUGCUUCGCCUCGUCCUCCUCGCGCGGCUCCUGCUUGAUCAC
Molecule: long non-coding RNA, 659 nt
Filed under: Lynx pardinus (Iberian lynx)
Lineage: Eukaryota; Metazoa; Chordata; Mammalia; Carnivora; Felidae
Source: RNAcentral